Molecule: small nucleolar RNA, 85 nt
Organism: Capsicum annuum
Lineage: Eukaryota; Viridiplantae; Streptophyta; Magnoliopsida; Solanales; Solanaceae
Source: RefSeq, a predicted model, not a curated record
UGCAAUCAAUGAUGAUUUUUGUGCAUAAUUGCUAAUUGAACAGUGAUUAAUACAAAAUUAUCACCAUCUUUCGACUGAGAUUGCA